UACGUAGGGUGCGAGCGUUAAUCGGAAUUACUGGGCGUAAAGCGUGCGCAGGCGGUUUUGUAAGUCAGAUGUGAAAUCCCCGGGCUCAACCUUGGGACUGUCAUUUGAAACUUCUAAACUAGAGGGGCAAAGAGGAAGUUGGAACGAACGGUGUAGUAGUGAAAUGCGUUGAUAUCGUUCGGAACACCAAUAGCGAAGGCAGGCUUCUGGGUGCCACCUGACACUGCUAGGACGAAAGCGUGGGGAGCGAAUGGG
RNAcentral lists this ribosomal RNA (255 nucleotides) under uncultured bacterium. RNAcentral describes it as "partial 16S ribosomal RNA". It matches the Rfam family "Bacterial small subunit ribosomal RNA", at positions 524 to 776 of the family's 1533-position model. The record is from RNAcentral.